CAUUUUAGCCAAAUUACACAGACAAAUAAUUCAAAACGUUGACGUUUUGACAGGCAAUAAAACAACAAAGAAUGAGUAAAAUACAAAUAAAAACCAACAACGUUAGUCAAUCGUAAUGCAAUGCGAAAUUGAAUUCCGAAAAUGUAAGAAAUAACUAAUACCAUUUGAUCAGAUAGUAUCUAAAAGGCUAAAAAGGGAAGAAGAAAAGCAUUUCUUAUACUAAAGUUUGGAGUUUCGAUCUUAUUAGGUUGAAGAAAGAUCUUAUUUCUCCAGCUGAUAGCUUCCUCUGCUGACUUUGCACAUGUGAGCAGCAAAAAGGAAAGGGCAACAUUGGUUUGCCAUCGCAUUUGAAUGAUUAAAGGAGUUAGUCUAAUAAUGGAAAAGCACAUAGCGGAAGUGUGGGUGAUGCCAUUCAUUUAUCCAUCCAUCCAUCCAUCCAUCCUACGAGAAUUUGAAAUACGAGUUUAGUGUAUACGUUUGAUGAUGAUAACUCAAAUGUGAAAUGAAUCAAGCGCAGACCGUGUCACCAUCAUGCGGUGGCCGCAAAGAUCUCUGUGGUCGGGUCGUAGGCGUUGCAAACGAAGCGUAAAAAUUGCCGGCAGAUGCAAAUUCUGCUGGUAGGGGAGGUUGAUGCAGCUCAUGCUGCUGAUGUUGCUGCUGCUAUCUGACCACAACGUCAAGUUACCGCAGUGGAAGAGGUGAAUGGAGAAAUGAGAGCAUGCCUGGAGGCAGAAGAUUGGCAAAGGGUUCGGUGUGUGAAGGCAUGAACGAAUGCUUAGAAUGGGAGGCGGUUGCAUAACAAAUUGCAUGCCACAAAUCGAUGGCGAAUGGGGAGCCCAAACUCUUAAUGAUGCGCAGGUGCAAAUCGUGCCACUCACACUCGCACACAGCCACACAAACACACACACACACCGAUACAUAUACACAUGUGCCCCAGACAGGACAAAGAUAAAUCGUUAAUAAAUUAUUUAUAAUUAA
Molecule: long non-coding RNA, 978 nt
Organism: Drosophila willistoni
Lineage: Eukaryota; Metazoa; Arthropoda; Insecta; Diptera; Drosophilidae
Exons: 2
Source: RefSeq, a predicted model, not a curated record